CCUACGGGAGGCAGCAGUAAGGAAUAUUGGUCAAUGGACGAAAGUCUGAACCAGCCAUGCCGCGUGAAGGAUGAAGGUCCUCUGGAUUGUAAACUUCUUUUAUCUGGGACGAAAAAAGGGCUUUCUAGCUCACUUGACGGUACCAGAGGAAUAAGCACCGGCUAACUCCGUGCCAGCAGCCGCGGUAAUACGGAGGGUGCAAGCGUUAUCCGGAUUUACUGGGUUUAAAGGGAGCGUAGGUGGGCAGGUAAGUCAGUGGUGAAAUCUCUGGGCUUAACCCGGAAACUGCCAUUGAUACUAUCUGUCUUGAAUAUCCUGGAGGUAAGCGGAAUAUGUCAUGUAGCGGUGAAAUGCUUAGAUAUGACAUAGAACACCCAUUGCGAAGGCAGCUUACUACGGGAUUAUUGACACUGAGGCUCGAAAGCGUGGGGAUCAAACAGGAUUAGAUACCCUGGUAGUCCACGACCUAACCGANAGAUACUACGACAUCAGCGAUACACUGUUGGUGUNUGNGCGAAGAGAUAAGUAUCCACCGUACGGGAAGGUAACGGUACCGCCGAAGGUUAGUAAACGUUACAAAUAAGAAGUUAGUUACGGCGUUGGAGACGUUCGCCGACGGACGACCGACGAGGGGAGGUUAGG
This 642-nucleotide ribosomal RNA is filed under the name uncultured bacterium. RNAcentral describes it as "bacterial SSU rRNA". The stretch from base 1 to 534 matches the Rfam family "Bacterial small subunit ribosomal RNA", at positions 338 to 873 of the family's 1533-position model. The record is from RNAcentral.